RNAcentral lists this RNase P RNA (427 nucleotides) under Candidatus Giovannonibacteria bacterium GWA2_45_15. Its description in RNAcentral is "RNase P RNA component class A". It matches the Rfam family "Bacterial RNase P class A". From Rfam's summary of the family: Ribonuclease P (RNase P) is a ubiquitous endoribonuclease, found in archaea, bacteria and eukarya as well as chloroplasts and mitochondria. Its best characterised activity is the generation of mature 5'-ends of tRNAs by cleaving the 5'-leader elements of precursor-tRNAs. The record is from RNAcentral. RNAcentral also lists the same sequence under 6 other names. Lineage: Bacteria; Candidatus Giovannoniibacteriota.
GUUCUUUGCCAGAUAGUCGCUCCGCCUAAAUGCGUAAGCUUUGGGCGAGAGAGGAAAGUCCGAACACCGUCCCGCUAAGCGGGACAGAGGCAAUGGCUAACAGUCAUGACUCGCAAAAGAGAUUUUGCGGGUACGGAUAGUGUCACAGAGACCAUACCGCGACAUCAUCAAUUUUGGCCUAAAACCAAAAAGGUUGAUACGUAAGGGUGAAAAGAGGUGAGGUAAAAGCUCACAGCGUACGUUGGCAACAGCGUGCGGUGAAAAACACCUGCCCGGUGCAACCUCGUAAUAGGGGGCUAGAGUCCUCGACGUAAGUCGGGACCCAGACAGAUGACUAUCGGCUUGCGCAGCAACCAGCCGCCAGCUGUUAGCUGGAAGCAGGAAGCUGCGUUAGUUACAGAAUUCGGCUUAUAGACGGAGAACAUGA